Choloepus didactylus (southern two-toed sloth) is the source of this 256-nucleotide long non-coding RNA. RefSeq lists it as uncharacterized. The transcript is spliced from 3 exons. NCBI's taxonomy places the organism in Eukaryota, Metazoa, Chordata, Mammalia, Pilosa, Megalonychidae. The record is from RefSeq and is a predicted model, not a curated record.
GGCCCGGCGUGAAAUGGGAGGGACCCACUCAAAAGAAAGGAGGUGUAGCCCAUUUUAGAGAUGGGGAAACUGAGGUCCGGGAGGAUUCACGUGUGACUUUCUCUGGUGGCUCUACCUGAAUAUCAGCUUCUACUCGGGUGUGACUUUCCUAAUCCAAAGGUGGUAAACUACCCAAGAACCACAGAGGAGAGGGAAUGCAUACUUCCAGACACAGUAGACAGGGAGCCCUAAGGACACAAAUAGCUGGUGAUGGAGA